CAAGUCGAACGCGAAAAGGGCUUCGGCUCUUAGUAGAGUGGCGAACGGGUGAGUAACACGUGGGUGACCUACCUUCGAAUGGGGGAUAACGUCCCGAAAGGGACGCUAAUACCGCAUAACAUCCUGCUUUUGAACAGGUGGAGAUCAAAGCCGGGGAUCGCAAGACCUGGCGUUUGAAGAGGGGCCCGCGUCUGAUUAGCUAGUUGGUGAGGUAACGGCCCACCAAGGCGACGAUCAGUAUCCGGCCUGAGAGGGCGGACGGACACACUGGGACUGAGACACGGCCCAGACUCCUACGGGAGGCAGCAGUGGGGAAUUGUUCGCAAUGGGCGCAAGCCUGACGACGCAACGCCGCGUGGAGGAUGAAGGUCUUCGGAUUGUAAACUCCUGUUGCCCGGGACGAAAAGCUUCGACCUAACACGUCGAAGUCUGACGGUACCGGGUGAGGAAGCCCCGGCUAACUCUGUGCCAGCAGCCGCGGUAAUACAGAGGGGGCAAGCGUUGUUCGGAAUUACUGGGCGUAAAGGGCGCGUAGGCGGCCUUCUAAGUCGAACGUGAAAUCCCCGGGCUCAACCCGGGAACUGCGUCCGAUACUGGAAGGCUUGAAUUCGGGAGAGGGAUGCGGAAUUCCAGGUGUAGCGGUGAAAUGCGUAGAUAUCUGGAGGAACACCGGUGGCGAAGGCGGCAUCCUGGACCGGCAUUGACGCUGAGGCGCGAAAGCCAGGGGAGCAAACGGGAUUAGAUACCCCGGUAGUCCUGGCCCUAAACGAUGAAUGCUUGGUGUGGCGGGUAUCGAUCCCUGCCGUGCCGAAGCUAACGCAUUAAGCAUUCCGCCUGGGGAGUACGGUCGCAAGGCUGAAACUCAAGGAAUUGACGGGG
Molecule: ribosomal RNA, 879 nt
Filed under: uncultured Acidobacteriota bacterium
Lineage: Bacteria; Pseudomonadati; Acidobacteriota
Description: bacterial SSU rRNA
Rfam family: Bacterial small subunit ribosomal RNA
Source: RNAcentral